CCGGAGAAUGUUAUCACGGGAGACACACGGCGGGUGCUAACGUCCGUCGUGAAGAGGGAAACAACCCAGACCGCCAGCUAAGGUCCCAAAGUCAUGGUUAAGUGGGAAACGAUGUGGGAAGGCCCAGACAGCCAGGAUGUUGGCUUAGAAGCAGCCAUCAUUUAAAGAAAGCGUAAUAGCUCACUGGUCGAGUCGGCCUGCGCGGAAGAUGUAACGGGGCUAAACCAU
This 228-nucleotide ribosomal RNA is filed under the name Escherichia coli. Its description in RNAcentral is "partial 23S ribosomal RNA". It matches the Rfam family "Bacterial large subunit ribosomal RNA", at positions 962 to 1190 of the family's 2925-position model. The record is from RNAcentral. Lineage: Bacteria; Pseudomonadati; Pseudomonadota; Gammaproteobacteria; Enterobacterales; Enterobacteriaceae. RNAcentral also lists the same sequence under 3 other names.